UUUCCCUUCCUUUAGGGAAGGCCCCUGCCCAGCCACGGGCGUACCAUUUGUCUUGCUAAGAACCAAGGGGAUGCCCCUUGUUUUGUCUGUUCACUGGGGAAUUAUUCAAGAGCUGUGCUAUUGAUGUGGCCUUGGGAGUGGUGGGAAGGGAUUGCAUGUGAUAACCAGAAUGAAGUGAAAAGCGUUAAUUAGUGUAAUUAUUUGGUGGAGCAGAACUCUUUUGUCAGAACAAGCUGAGUUCAUUGGGAAGAUAACUCUGUUUGCAUUGUUUUGCUUUUAUUUAUAGGAUCAGAGACAGGCACUGGGCACUGGGAACAUCCCUGGUGCUGUGAGGCCAACUUCCCCACUGUGAUGUCAAUGGGGAAAUAAGAGAAAACAGGCAUUGGCGUUGCCAUAGUGACUCUGAGGUUGGACUUCUGGAAAAGGAAAAGACUUCUUCACUUGUGCAGAGAGGCAUGGAUGACCUCACAUGUGCUGUGUGGGGCAUUUGGAGACCACUUCUGUGCUGAAUUGUAGGACACAGGACCCACAAAGGUGCACUGCCCUUGCACAUGGGCCUCAUGAUGUAAAAGAAGGAAUCACUGAGCUUCUUCAUGAGCAAGCAAACAAAACCAGUCCCUGCCCUGGCCCAUGGCUGAACCCAAAUACAUUCACAUUUCCCCACAAAACCCCCUGUGAUCUCAACCGGGCUAUCUGACACUGGGUCCCCAGCAUCACAGACUGCACAGUGCCCUCAGGAAUGCCCACCUCAUAUCUCCUCUGCUUUCUCUCUUCCUCCUGCUCUUACCAAUAAUUAUGACUGAGGAUGUGACAAAGCCAUCAUUGCCCAGCCCUCCAAGGACAACACGAGGGAAAUGCUGUACAAACUCACCGGAGGUAACCAGUCUGAACAGUAUUCCUCUGACUUCUUACAUGAUGCUACUGCUAUGUUAUGCAGGAGAGAACCAUCGUUUAGUUCAGCUAAGGCAGCUUUUUGACAGACCAACCUGCUCUGUAGAUAAUGAACCUUUCCAGUCAUCCAUGAUUUAUUAUGAAAACAAAAUGCUGGAUAACAUACUGGAGAAAAUCAGAAGGAAGACUUGCAGAGUGUUUGUAUUUCCAUGGUAUACAAGGGAACCCGAGGCCAAUGAGGUUAAAUAAAUGCUCAGAGUCAGUGGGGCACCGGGCAAAAGAGGAAACCCAGGGCCUGCACGCCCCUAGAGCAGUAGCAGCAAGUGCUGUCGGAUGGAUAACCUGGGUUAGACUGAUUUCUAAAGGAUCUUUUCAACAAAAAUCUUCUGUCAGGAAGCAAAUGUCAGGCAGCCCCCCCUGCUAGCUUCCUAAGCUUUCACACUGCUAGAGAGGAAUUGCUCUCUUUGACAAAGCUUUCAAAUCCAUUCAGGCUGAGUCCGCUUUCCCUUCUGGAUUUCAGUUAUUAACCACUAUUUUUUUAGCUCUGGUGCAUCCAACCACCAUAUGUUCUUUAAAUAAAGCCACUUUCCACUUCUUUCUUUCGUGCUUUGAGGUAAAUAGAAUUGCUGGAAAUGUAGACACGCAGAAGGGUGCCCCUCCUUUGGGAAGUGCGGGAUUUCUAGGUAAAUCUUCAGCACAGAGUACCGCUCACGCAGUUCUGCUGAAGUGCAUGAUGUACUGUGGAGUGUCUUUAUAUACCAUUUACUUGCAGGCGUGUAAUGAAAUAUCUCUUCUUUGUCCCAGCCUGGUUCCAAUUGUGUCACAAAGACAUAAAAGAAUUCUGAUAAUUCACACCCAUCUCUUAUCUGGCACAACAGCAAGGUCGUAUUUUUAAUUUUGAAUGGGAUGACUAAAGGUGCUUCAUUAGCCAAAAGGCAGAGCUGUUAUAUGGCCUGGAGAAACUGAAAUGGGAUGGAACACUCCUACAGCAUGAAAUAAGCAUUUAUAAAGCUAUCAUAACCAAACACAGCUCCUGUCUGCUUCUUCCAGCUUCAGCUGGCAAGAACUGGCUGCCAUAAUGGGGGUGUUUUAAAAGUGAGAAGAAAAAAAUCUCAUUUUUCAGUUCCUCUUGGCUCAGGUACCAAUGAGCCAUCCCAGAAUGGGCUGCUCAGAGAGGUCAUGGAGUCUCCUUCUCUAGAUAUAUUCAAAGCCCACCUGGAUGCUUUUCUUUGUAACCUACAGUGGGUAACCUGCCUUGCACAGGGUUGCACUGCAGGAUCUCCAGAGGUCCCUUCCAAUUCCUGUCAUUCUAUGGGGAAAAAUGAGCCUUGAAAACACAAUUUCUGACUGCUUAAUGCUGUGGCACUGUCUCAGUUCUGUUCCAAAGCCUUUGGUCACCAUUCUGGAGAGAACUGGGACUACGUGAGAGGAAGACUGGCACAAAAGGCAGAAAGCUGCUGCUUUUGUGGCCUAGCUUUCCACUAUUUACCAAUCAAAAGGGCAGAAAUCAAUGGAGUGGUGCACCCGAGCACUUGACUGAGACUGCAUUUAUAGGGUCUCUCUGGGUGUUCUCAAUAACAUUGAGACCACUGAAACUCAGCAGCUGCAGCCCUGUGCUAACAGUCUGCACCCAGAAACAGUGCAUGUUAAGAAGCCCAGCCCUGCUGAAGCUUUUGAUACCGCUGUUGCACUUGACAACUCAGACACUGAAGUGGUGCAGGAAAUGUCUCUGCCAGGCUCGCUAAUGCACAAACUGCCUCCUUGCACUUAGAGAAAUGCCUCUUGCAAGCACAUACUGUGCAAACACGUCAGUGUUUAUUAACUCAGGGCCUAAGAUGUGCAGCAGCCUCAGCCUACUCCGACAGCAAGGAAGAUGAUGUUCCACCCCCUGCAGGGUCAGCUCUUAGCCUGUAAAUCAAGCUAUGUUCUCAUUCCUCGUCAAGUAAAUUUCCUUUCUCUGGCAAUUGCAUGCCCUUGGAGUGGUGCCAGCCUUAUCUGAAUGUGCCUCGUCCCCUGGGAAAUUUCCUUGAGUAUUUUCUCUCACGGGAAUGGGAAAGCUUGGAAUGAUGACACACUGUAUUCAUACAAAUACCAUACAACAAACAGCAAACCAUGCACCAAUCCAGGGAAGAGCCCCACCAUGCAGCAGGUGGGAAAUGGUUGGAAUAGCAGUAGCUCUGAGAGAGCCUACAGCCAGAUGUUUCUGGUGCUCAGCAUCUUCUUGUAUAAUAUCAACUGGCACAGGUUGCCCUGAGAGGUGGUGGAUGAGCCAUCCCUGGAGACACCUAAGGUCAGGCUGGACAGGGCUCUGAGCACCUGGUGAAGCUGUAGUUGUCCUCGUUCACUGCAGGACUAGAUGGCCUCUAAGAAUCCCUUUCAACUCAAACGACUCUGUGAUUGUAUGAUGCUAUGAUUGUAUUAGUUGCUCAGUGUUCUGAAGAUUAAAAGAUACAGCUAGGAAGUUAGGAAGAAACAUAGAAAUAAGCCAACAAUCCAGGGGCAAGCAAAUUAUCUCAUCAAGCCACCAAAGUAUUUCAGUUGAAGUACAGACACUCACUGCAGUAAGGAUCUCAGUUUGGACUGGAAUUUCACAGAUGGUUUUUGUAUCUUUGGUCUUGUACCACACAUGAGCCCCAAAUGAUCCAGGCUUUGGGGAACCUCAGAGAAGAUGUUCCGAAUCUCAGCCCUCAGUGAAAUAUGCCACUGUAUGAGCAGUGGAAGUUUCCCAUGGGUUUGGAUUCUGCAUCUCCACAUUCUGCUCCUAGCUCUCCCAUUCCCUUCUGCCUGGCCAGGAGAGUGGCAGCAUCUUCUGUGCUGUGUUGAAGUUACACCUGGGCUGGCUGGCCAGCAGUUCUUGCUGGCUGGCCAGCAGUUCUUGCUUCUUUUUACACAUAAGAAACUGAAAGCCGUAUUCCGCUUUGUGAGGCUGCCCUGGGAACAUGGAAGAUAAUAGCUGCAUAUGUCUGUAGGAUGAUGUAUCUGGGGGAUAUCUGUGUCUGUCAAGCAGAAUUGAAAGCAAUCAUUGGGGUAAAAUUAUUCUUAUCAGGUCACUGAGACAAGGUGACUGCAAAGGUGUUGGUUUUCCUGGAAUGCUAUGGUAUUAUAGAAAUCAACUGGACCAGCUUACCCCCUUUUUAGUGCUUUAACAAGUAUAUUAUGCAUCCAAGACCUUCACUCUGGACACAGGAUGUGACUACUGAAUAGCAUUGGUUGUUCACAUUACCCUUCUGACAGAAGCAGAAGCAGCAAAACUUUGUUUGGAAGCUUUGCCCUAUACUGUCACGUAGCCAAGCAUCACGAUUUGGUGCUAGAUGAUGUCUGCACACUGUCUGGGGUGUGAAGAAGACAGGCUCAUGGGCUUUUGCUGGAGUUCUUUUCCAUGGCUCCACUCAGACUGGGGAUGGAAAUAAGGACUGGCCCACUGUGGAAGAGCUGGGGAAGGGAGAGGCAGAAAACAAGAACCUGAAACAGCCCAUGACCAUUGACUUCUGCCAGUCUGAGGUUGGAACAUAUUCCAAGUGCAUAUAGGGUCAUGGGUUUCCUGAAGGCAGCAGCAGGUAUCGCUCCUGGCAUGACUGUCCCUGCCUGCCUGGCCUCACACCAUUGACAGUGCCAUUCCCAUCGGCCAGGCAAUGCCAUGUCCAGCAAAGUCCAAGCUGCAGGAGUUGCUGACACCUUAACAAGGAGGGUAAUUUUCUUCCCAGUUAAUCUUUUCCAAAGAAUCAUAGAAUGGGUUGGGUUGGAAGGCACCCCAAGGGUCACCAAGUUCCAACCCCUUGCCAUAGGCAGGGCCACCAACUUCCAGAUCUUGUACUAGACCUGGCUGCCUGGGGCCCCAUCCAUGACAAUAUCUUCUCUGUUACCCACUAUUUUUAAGGCUAUCGAGAGAGCAUUUGGAACUAAUUUGGGGAUAUCUUGAUAACAAAUGAGAUGUUAAGAAGACAGUCAGAAAAACUGGGCUUUCCUAGGAAUAAAUCCUAUGACCAUAGCAUCCUAAGGCCUAAGUUCUCCACCUCCUUUUG
Non-coding RNA from Phasianus colchicus (ring-necked pheasant), 4913 nucleotides. The record is from RefSeq and is a predicted model, not a curated record. Lineage: Eukaryota; Metazoa; Chordata; Aves; Galliformes; Phasianidae.